AACGAACGCUGGCGGCAGGCCUAACACAUGCAAGUCGAACGCCCUAGCAAUAGGGAGUGGCAGACGGGUGAGUAACACGUGGGAACCUUCCCUAUAGUACGGAAUAGCCCAGGGAAACUUGGAGUAAUACCGUAUAAGCCCGAGAGGGGAAAGAUUUAUCGCUAUAGGAUGGGCCCGCGUCGGAUUAGCUAGUUGGUGAGGUAAUGGCUCACCAAGGCGACGAUCCGUAGCUGGUUUGAGAGAACGACCAGCCACACUGGGACUGAGACACGGCCCAGACUCCUACGGGAGGCAGCAGUGGGGAAUAUUGGACAAUGGGCGAAAGCCUGAUCCAGCCAUGCCGCGUGAGUGAUGAAGGCCUUAGGGUUGUAAAGCUCUUUUGUCGGGGACGAUAAUGACGGUACCCGAAGAAUAAGCUCCGGCUAACUUCGUGCCAGCAGCCGCGGUAAU
Molecule: ribosomal RNA, 450 nt
Filed under: uncultured bacterium
Lineage: Bacteria
Description: bacterial SSU rRNA
Rfam family: Bacterial small subunit ribosomal RNA
Source: RNAcentral